AGAGUUUGAUCAUGGCUCAGAUUGAACGCUGGCGGCAUGCCUUACACAUGCAAGUCGAACGGCAGCGCGGGGGCAACCCUGGCGGCGAGUGGCGAACGGGUGAGUAAUACAUCGGAACGUGUCCUGGAGUGGGGGGAUAGCCCGGCGAAAGCCGGAUUAAUACCGCAUACGCUCUAUGGAGGAAAGCGGGGGAUCUUCGGACCUCGCGCUCAAGGGGCGGCCGAUGGCAGAUUAGCUAGUUGGUGGGGUAAAGGCCUACCAAGGCGACGAUCUGUAGCUGGUCUGAGAGGACGACCAGCCACACUGGGACUGAGACACGGCCCAGACUCCUACGGGAGGCAGCAGUGGGGAAUUUUGGACAAUGGGGGCAACCCUGAUCCAGCAAUGCCGCGUGUGUGAAGAAGGCCUUCGGGUUGUAAAGCACUUUUGUCCGGAAAGAAAACCGCUUCUCUAAUACAGAGGUGGGAUGACGGUACCGGAAGAAUAAGCACCGGCUAACUACGUGCCAGCAGCCGCGGUAAUACGUAGGGUGCAAGCGUUAAUCGGAAUUACUGGGCGUAAAGCGUGCGCAGGCGGUUCGCUAAGACCGAUGUGAAAUCCCCGGGCUUAACCUGGGAACUGCAUUGGUGACUGGCGGGCUAGAGUAUGGCAGAGGGGGGUAGAACUCCACGUGUAGCAGUGAAAUGCGUAGAGAUGUGGAGGAAUACCGAUGGCGAAGGCAGCCCCCUGGGCCAAUACUGACGCUCAUGCACGAAAGCGUGGGGAGCAAACAGGAUUAGAUACCCUAGUAGUCC
Molecule: ribosomal RNA, 794 nt
Filed under: uncultured bacterium
Lineage: Bacteria
Description: bacterial SSU rRNA
Rfam family: Bacterial small subunit ribosomal RNA
Source: RNAcentral